CACUCCUACGGGAGGCAGCAGUGGGGAAUAUUGGACAAUGGGCGCAAGCCUGAUCCAGCCAUGCCGCGUGAGUGAUGAAGGCCCUAGGGUUGUAAAGCUCUUUCACCGGUGAAGAUAAUGACGGUAACCGGAGAAGAAGCCCCGGCUAACUUCGUGCCAGCAGCCGCGGUAAUACGAAGGGGGCUAGCGUUGUUCGGAUUUACUGGGCGUAAAGCGCACGUAGGCGGACUAUUAAGUCAGGGGUGAAAUCCCGGGGCUCAACCCCGGAACUGCCUUUGAUACUGGUAGUCUUGAGUUCGAGAGAGGUGAGUGGAAUUCCGAGUGUAGAGGUGAAAUUCGUAGAUAUUCGGAGGAACACCAGUGGCGAAGGCGGCUCACUGGCUCGAUACUGACGCUGAGGUGCGAAAGCGUGGGGAGCAAACAGGAUUAGAUACCCUAGUAGUCCCAUGAU
RNAcentral lists this ribosomal RNA (451 nucleotides) under uncultured organism. RNAcentral describes it as "partial 16S ribosomal RNA". It matches the Rfam family "Bacterial small subunit ribosomal RNA", at positions 334 to 801 of the family's 1533-position model. The record is from RNAcentral.